AAGUUUGAAAAAAAGUGUAUAACAAUUGCACCAAAAAAUUAUAUUUGCAUAACACUGCCCAUUGCGCUAAAUGGCACCGAGUCCCAUUUAAAACCAUGCACUUGCUAAAAAUAUUUGCAUUUUUCAGUAACUGUGUUUGAGCAAAUACAUACGGUAAGAACUUAGUAAAAGUUUAAUUGAUUGUCCGUUUAAGCUCACAUAAAGUGCAAGAUGGCAACAACAGAGCACAACUGUAUCACGUGCAACAGCAACCAAAAUUAGUUAGCUAAUAAACUGUCUGAAGGGAACCAAUCAUUUCAGAGUAGUUUAUUCCACGUCUCAUUCUCCUCGAAAAUGAGCCCAAGUGGCCAUCAACAAAUACAAUUGUUUUGAUACAACAACUGUAAGAGAAAUGAGUAACCAUGAAAGAAACAAAACGUUUAAGUUAGUUUUUUCUAACCAUGGAGGAGAGUUGCAUGUUAACUUUAUAAAAGAAGGCCAAUGUCAAGGAACAGCAUGUUGACAUACUCAUCCUGCUCUCCGUUCUUGUCAUCAGUCCCGGCAAUCAGCUCCUGACCAUCACCUUCAGCAACAACCACGACAAUGCCCCUUAUUCUUUAUCCUUGCAUAUACAGGAACUCAAUCAGGUCAAGAAAAAAAGAUAUGAAUCAACUCUCAAGAUCAAGUGAGAUGGGUGCCUUCCCUCUCUACUACUGCCAGGCUCAACACCAACUCCACAUAUCAAGCACAUGUUGCCUUUCCACAACAUGACAACACUUUUCAAUGCAACAAACAAAAAGAUUGGGCCUACAAUGACGCCUCAUUGCCUGAGAAGAAUAAAAGAGGGAGCUCACCUUGAUGAGUUGGAAUCAGAUGCACUCGUUAUAGCUCGACCAAGCUGCGCCCAUGGUCUGGACCGGCAACGGGACCGGCGCUCCCGCUGCCUAUACAGUCUGCUGCGGGUUAGAAGACGUGCCCAGCCUCCUCGUAGGUUAGAAUAUAGUUUUAUUCUAUAUCAUUAUCAGUCUCGUAAGCUUUUCAGCAGAUGAUGAUGCAAUCAAAACAAUUCCAAAAUAAAUGAUAUAUUGAUGAGAAAAGGUUAGGAUUCUGAUAGAAAUAGCUAGCCUUCUACUGGCUAUAUUUCUGAAGUUAUUUUCUGUUAUUGUAUGAGAAUAACAAGAUUAAUAGGGUGAAAUUAGGUCAUGCUACAACUUUUGUAAAGGGAAAAAGGUUCACC
Molecule: long non-coding RNA, 1216 nt
Filed under: Triticum aestivum (bread wheat)
Lineage: Eukaryota; Viridiplantae; Streptophyta; Magnoliopsida; Poales; Poaceae
Description: long non-coding RNA (TAES_LNC011976)
Source: RNAcentral